UAGUCCACGCCCUAAACGAUGCUAACUCGAUGUUUGGGUCCUAGAUCUGAGCAUCCAAGCGAAAGCGUUAAGUUAGCCACCUGGGGAGUACGUUCGCAAGAAUGAAACUCAAAGGAAUUGACGGGGGCCCGCACAAGCGGUGGAGCAUGUGGUUUAAUUCGAUGAUACGCGAGGAACCUUACCAAGGCUUAAAUGCAAUACGAAUACUAUGGAAACAUAGUAGUCUAUCAGACGGAUUGCAAGGUGCUGCAUGGUUGUCGUCAGCUCGUGCCGUGAGGUGUCAGGUUAAGUCCUAUAACGAGCGCAACCCCUGUUGUUAGUUGCCAGCAAGAAAGAUGGGGACUCUAACAAAACUGCCGGUGCAAACCGUGAGGAAGGUGGGGAUGACGUCAAAUCAUCACGGCCCUUACGUCUUGGGGCUACACACGUGCUACAAUGGCAGGUACAAUGGGAAGCCACCGGGUGACCGGGAGCGAAUCCUAAAAACCUGU
This 491-nucleotide ribosomal RNA is filed under the name uncultured bacterium. RNAcentral's name for it is "bacterial SSU rRNA". It matches the Rfam family "Bacterial small subunit ribosomal RNA", at positions 791 to 1286 of the family's 1533-position model. The record is from RNAcentral.